AGGUUGAGUUCUAUUUAGUAUCCAGCCUAAACUUCUCAACCAGAUUUAAAUUAUUAAGUCUUACGUACGUGCACUAGUCACCCUAAGAUUAUUUAGCAUUAUUUUCCAAUUUAUUGCUUCAUCAAGCAACUCAUGAAAAUUGAAAGUUCAACAAAAUAUAUAUAAUCACGAGUGUGAUUUUCUUCAUCCAACUUUGAAGCUUUAUUAAGAUCGAAAAACCAUCCGUCCUUACAGUGAAUAGUGAAAUUAUCAUCAAUAUAUAUAUUUAGUGUUUUAAGUAGUUUCUUUUUUUUUUCUUUCCUUCCCA
Arachis ipaensis is the source of this 307-nucleotide non-coding RNA. NCBI's taxonomy places the organism in Eukaryota, Viridiplantae, Streptophyta, Magnoliopsida, Fabales, Fabaceae. The record is from RefSeq and is a predicted model, not a curated record.